CACGUGAGUGACCUGCCUUUUAGACUGGAACAACUUACCGAAAGGUGAGCUAAUGCCGGAUGAGUUAUAUAAGUGCAUGUUUAUAUAGGAAAAGUUGGGGAGACCUGACGCUGAAAGAUGGACUCGCGUCCCAUUAGCUAGUUGGUAGGGUAAUGGCCUACCAAGGCAACGAUGGGUAGCCGGCCUGAGAGGGUGGCCGGCCACACUGGGACUGAGACACGGCCCAGACUCCUACGGGAGGCAGCAGUGGGGAAUUUUGCGCAAUGCUCGUAAGAGUGACGCAGCGACGCCGCGUGAAUGACGAAGGCCUUCGGGUCGUAAAGUUCUUUCGACAGGGAAGAAAAUGCCUAUAAGUAACUGUGUAUGUAUUGACGGUACCUGUAUAAGCAGCCCCGGCUAACUCCGUGCCAGCAGCCGCGGUAAUACGGAGGGGGCGAGCGUUGUUCGGAGUGACUGGGCGUAAAGAGCACGUAGGCGGUGUUGUAAGUCAUUAGUCAAAGACUAGAGCUCAACUUUAGUAAGGCUAGUGAUACUAUAAUACUAGAGUAUCAGAGAGGAUUGCAUAAUUCCUGGUGUAGCGGUGAAAAUGCGUAGAUAUCAAGAGGAAUACCGUUAGC
RNAcentral lists this ribosomal RNA (617 nucleotides) under uncultured bacterium. RNAcentral's name for it is "bacterial SSU rRNA". It matches the Rfam family "Bacterial small subunit ribosomal RNA", at positions 114 to 716 of the family's 1533-position model. The record is from RNAcentral.